Molecule: long non-coding RNA, 774 nt
Organism: Gallus gallus (chicken)
Lineage: Eukaryota; Metazoa; Chordata; Aves; Galliformes; Phasianidae
Source: Ensembl
CAAUUUCCAUAAGGUGAAUACAGAAAGGAACUACAAGCAUUGGAAAUGAAUGGGGGAGUUUAAUUCAGCCGCGUUUCACUCCCACUGAGGAGGCAUACAGAUGGCUGCACAGAACUCAGCAAAAACAGAGCCAGGAGUCAGGGAGAGGGAGACUUCAACUGGGGUUUCGAGUGGAGUUGCUCAUUUAUUUCCCCCUGUAUCAGUCUGCCUCCUGGGAUAUCGCAUGGACAGGUACAGGCAAACAGUUCCAAAUAAGGGAAUGCAUGCUGUGCGAGUGUAAUGCUCUGCUUUCCUUAGUGGCAUGUUUUCAGCAAGUUUGCCAUGUGCUACAGCUGGCCUAGGCAGGAUUUUGCAAAAGGAAAGAAGAAUAUUCACACUAAGGUCCCUGAAGCCACACUUCUGCAAACUAGCAGCUACCAAAAAGUGCAUAGCUAAUCCAGUGUGUACACAAGUGGAAGUGCUUAAGGCAAUGGUUCAACCUUAAAAGGAACUCCUAUCUGCAAUUGGUGACUGCCUGAGAAGGAUUUUUCUCCUGCCAAUAAUUGUUGUUCACCUGUGACCCCUUUUUGUUCACAGCUCUGUCCUUAUGCAUCCAGUCUGCGCUGUCCUGACCCCAGAGGCACUGGGAAGCCACUUAGUAGAUGUCAACUGCAAUAGGAAAUGGUCAGCUCUGUUCCUGAUCACCGCUAAGCAUCUGGAACCAGGUCCAUCCAUAGGAGAACCCAGAGCUGGCUGACAACAUUUUGGCAUUCUUUUUUAAUUAACUUCUGGAAG